This 407-nucleotide ribosomal RNA is filed under the name uncultured bacterium. Its description in RNAcentral is "partial 16S ribosomal RNA". It matches the Rfam family "Bacterial small subunit ribosomal RNA", at positions 28 to 526 of the family's 1533-position model. The record is from RNAcentral.
GACGAACGCUGGCGGCGUGCCUAAUACAUGCAAGUAGAACGCAGUUGCGAACGGGUGAGUAACGCGUAGGUAACUGCCUGGUAGCGGGGGAUAACUAUUGGAAACGAUAGCUAAUACCGCAUACUACCAGAUGGACCUGCGUUGUAUUAGCUAGUUGGUGGGGUAAUGGCUCACCAAGGCAACGAUUCAUAGCCGACCCGGUGGGGUGAUCGGCCACAAUGGGACUGAGACACGGGCCAGACUCCUUCGGGAGGCAGCAGUAGGGGAGUUUCGGCAAUGGGGGGAACCCUGACCGAACAACUCCGCGUGAGUGAAGAAGGUUUUCGGAUCGUAAAGCUCCGUUGUUAAGGAAGCGGUACUUAACCAGAAAGGGACGGCUAACUACGUGCCAGCAGCCGCGGUAAUAC